CCCUCCUACAAAGGCGUGCCUGUGGUUCCCUGUCUUUGGACACGUAAGAAUUGGAGGCAAAGAAAUGUGGACUUAGAAGUCUGGAGCCAGCUUGCUCCCUGCAGGCUCAAGAUCAACCAUCCCACAUAG
Small nucleolar RNA from Myotis lucifugus (little brown bat), 129 nucleotides. Ensembl annotates it as small nucleolar RNA SNORA38. Its record names the gene SNORA38B. The record is from Ensembl. NCBI's taxonomy places the organism in Eukaryota, Metazoa, Chordata, Mammalia, Chiroptera, Vespertilionidae.